UACGGAGGGGGCUAGCGUUGUUCGGAAUUACUGGGCGUAAAGCGCGCGUAGGCGGAUCUGCAAGUCGGGGGUGAAAUCCCGAGGCUCAACCUCGGAACUGCCUUCGAUACUGCGGGUCUCGAGUCCGGGAGAGGUGAGUGGAAUUCCUAGUGUAGAGGUGAAAUUCGUAGAUAUCUGGAGGAACACCGGUGGCGAAGGCGGGUCUCUGGGCCGAUACUGACGCUGAGGAGCGAAAGCGUGGGGAGCGAACAGG
This 253-nucleotide ribosomal RNA is filed under the name uncultured bacterium. RNAcentral describes it as "partial 16S ribosomal RNA". It matches the Rfam family "Bacterial small subunit ribosomal RNA", at positions 524 to 776 of the family's 1533-position model. The record is from RNAcentral.